Molecule: ribosomal RNA, 460 nt
Filed under: uncultured bacterium
Lineage: Bacteria
Description: partial 16S ribosomal RNA
Rfam family: Bacterial small subunit ribosomal RNA
Source: RNAcentral
CCUACGGGAGGCAGCAGUGAGGAAUAUUGGUCAAUGGACGCAAGUCUGAACCAGCCAUGCCGCGUGCAGGAAGACGGCUCUAUGAGUUGUAAACUGCUUUUGUACGAGGGUAAACUCAGAUACGCGUAUCUGUCUGAAAGUAUCGUACGAAUAAGGAUCGGCUAACUCCGUGCCAGCAGCCGCGGUAAUACGGAGGAUUCAAGCGUUAUCCGGAUUUAUUGGGUUUAAAGGGUGCGUAGGCGGUCGGAUAAGUUAGAGGUGAAAUCCCGAGGCUCAACCUCGGAAUUGCCUCUGAUACUGUUCGUCUAGAGAGUAGUUGCGGUAGGCGGAAUGUAUGGUGUAGCGGUGAAAUGCUUAGAGAUCAUACAGAACACCGAUUGCGAAGGCAGCUUACCAAGCUACUUCUGACGUUGAGGCACGAAAGCGUGGGGAGCAAACAGGAUUAGAUACCCUGGUAGUC